Molecule: non-coding RNA, 229 nt
Organism: Cinara cedri
Lineage: Eukaryota; Metazoa; Arthropoda; Insecta; Hemiptera; Aphididae
Source: the annotation of a GenBank genome assembly
CGUCUUUCUCUAGACAUUUAUAAUUUAUCUUUAUACAACACUGAAUUUAUAACACCGUCAAACGGCUAUGCGAGUUACUUAUGGAUAUAUUUUAUUACAAGUAUUUUCUAAAAAAAAUGUCGAGUUUUCAGAAUAUUGUUUUUUUUUUUAGAAUCAAACGAAAGACGACUACUUCCGUUGGAAAAUUAAAAGCACGUGAUGUUUGUAUGUUUACAUUUUUUAAUCGAAU